RNAcentral lists this unclassified non-coding RNA (336 nucleotides) under soil metagenome. RNAcentral describes it as "partial contains 5.8S ribosomal RNA, internal transcribed spacer 2, and large subunit ribosomal RNA". The stretch from base 1 to 120 matches the Rfam family "5.8S ribosomal RNA", at positions 35 to 154 of the family's 154-position model. The record is from RNAcentral.
GAUGAAGAACGCAGCGAAAUGCGAUAAGUAAUGUGAAUUGCAGAAUUCAGUGAAUCAUCGAAUCUUUGAACGCACAUUGCGCCCGCCAGUAUUCUGGCGGGCAUGCCUGUUCGAGCGUCAUUUCAACCAUCAAGCCCCCGGCUUGUGUUGGGGACCUGCGGCUGCCGCAGGCCCUGAAAAGCAGUGGCGGGCUCGCUGUCACACCGAGCGUAGUAGAUUUCAUCUCGCUCAGGGCGUGCUGCGGGUUCCGGCCGUUAAACCACCUUCAUAACCCAAGGUUGACCUCGGAUCAGGUAGGAAGACCCGCUGAGCUUAAGCAUAUCAAUAAGCGGAGGA